Non-coding RNA from Schistosoma mansoni, 45 nucleotides. The record is from Rfam. NCBI's taxonomy places the organism in Eukaryota, Metazoa, Platyhelminthes, Trematoda, Strigeidida, Schistosomatidae.
AUCCAGCUGAUGAGUCCCAAACAAGAUGAAACACACGUCCUGGAU